AUGUGGCCGAAGAGCAAACCGGAGAACUUGUGUGUAUGCCAGAAACAUAGUCUUUUUGAACUUCUCAAGGUACGAGGGACUUGCGUGGAGCCUCCUACUGGAUUGAUACCUUGGUUCUCAAAAACUAAGGGAAAUACUUACGCUACUUUGUUGCAUCACCCUUUUCUCUUCAAGGGAAAAAUCAAUGCAUGCUCAAGAGGUAGCAAGAAGGAUUUCUGGCGCCGUUGCCUGGGAGGUCUACGCACAAGUCAAGACAUACCAAGUACCCAUCACAAAAUUUUAUCCCUCGCAUUAGAUUAUUUGCCAUUUGCCUCUCAUUUUUCUCUCCCCCACUUCACCCUUGCCGUUUUAUUCACCCUUCUUCUGUUCGUCUUUUUCGUUUGCUUUGAUGUCUUACUUGGCUCGUUUGAUCGUUUGGUUGGAAUAGUUGUUUAUUUAUUGCUAAACAGAGAACCUAAGAUCUAUGGAUCCUCAUCCGCUUGCUAA
This 486-nucleotide ribosomal RNA is filed under the name Triticum aestivum (bread wheat). RNAcentral describes it as "partial small subunit ribosomal RNA". Lineage: Eukaryota; Viridiplantae; Streptophyta; Magnoliopsida; Poales; Poaceae. The record is from RNAcentral.